UACUCCUACGGGAGGCAGCAGUGGGGAAUUUUGGACAAUGGGCGAAAGCCUGAUCCAGCAAUGCCGCGUGUGUGAAGAAGGCCUUCGGGUUGUAAAGCACUUUUGUCCGGAAAGAAAUGGCUCUGGUUAAUACCCGGAGUCGAUGACGGUACCGGAAGAAUAAGGACCGGCUAACUACGUGCCAGCAGCCGCGGUAAUACGUAGGGUCCAAGCGUUAAUCGGAAUUACUGGGCGUAAAGCGUGCGCAGGCGGUUGUGCAAGACCGAUGUGAAAUCCCCGGGCUUAACCUGGGAAUUGCAUUGGUGACUGCACGGCUAGAGUGUGUCAGAGGGAGGUAGAAUUCCACGUGUAGCAGUGAAAUGCGUAGAGAUGUGGAGGAAUACCGAUGGCGAAGGCAGCCUCCUGGGAUAACACUGACGCUCAUGCACGAAAGCGUGGGGAGCAAACAGGAUUAGAUACCCUGGUAGUCCACGCCCUAAACGAUGUCAACUAGUUGUUGGGGAUUCAUUUCCUUAGUAACGUAGCUAACGCGUGAAGUUGACCGCCUGGGGAGUACGGUCGCAAGAUUAAAACUCAAAUGAAUUGACGGA
This 590-nucleotide ribosomal RNA is filed under the name uncultured bacterium. RNAcentral describes it as "bacterial SSU rRNA". It matches the Rfam family "Bacterial small subunit ribosomal RNA", at positions 334 to 917 of the family's 1533-position model. The record is from RNAcentral.